GACGAACGCUGGCGGCAUGCCUAAUACAUGCAAGUCGAGCGGACAGAUGAAGUGCUUGCACUUCUGACGUUAGCGGCGAACGGGUGAGUAACACGUAAGGAAUCUACCUAUAAGCGGGGGAUAACAUUCGGAAACGGGUGCUAAUACCGCAUAAUAUCUUCUUCCGCAUGGAAGAAGAUUGAAAGACGGCUCUGCUGUCACUUAUAGAUGACCUUGCGGUGCAUUAGUUAGUUGGUGGGGUAAUGGCCUACCAAGACGAUGAUGCAUAGCCGACCUGAGAGGGUGAUCGGCCACAUUGGGACUGAGACACGGCCCAAACUCCUACGGGAGGCAGCAGUAGGGAAUCUUCCGCAAUGGGCGAAAGCCUGACGGAGCAAUGCCGCGUGAGUGAAGAAGGCCUACGGGUCGUAAAACUCUGUUAUAAGAGAAGAACAAAUUGUAGAGUAACUGCUACAGUCUUGACGGUAUCUUAUCAGAAAGCCACGGCUAACUACGUGCCAGCAGCCGCCGUAA
Molecule: ribosomal RNA, 513 nt
Filed under: uncultured bacterium
Lineage: Bacteria
Description: partial 16S ribosomal RNA
Rfam family: Bacterial small subunit ribosomal RNA
Source: RNAcentral